Molecule: ribosomal RNA, 253 nt
Filed under: uncultured bacterium
Lineage: Bacteria
Description: partial 16S ribosomal RNA
Rfam family: Bacterial small subunit ribosomal RNA
Source: RNAcentral
UACGUAGGUGGCAAGCGUUGUCCGGAUUUAUUGGGUUUAAAGGGUGCGUCGGCGGCCCUGUAAGUCAGUGCUGAAAUAUCCCGGCUUAACCGGGAGGGUGGCAUUGAUACUGCGGGGCUAGAGUACAGAUGAGGUAGGCGGAAUUGACGGUGUAGCGGUGAAAUGCUUAGAUAUCGUCAAGAACACCUAUAGCGAAGGCAGCUUACUAGGCUGUAACUGACGCUGAGGCACGAAAGUGUGGGGAUCAAACAGG